UAGGAUAUAGCUCAGUGGUAGAGCAUGUGCUGAGCAUGUUGUACAAGACUCUGAGUUCAAAGUCCAGUAGCCUAG
Molecule: transfer RNA, 75 nt
Filed under: Fukomys damarensis (Damara mole-rat)
Lineage: Eukaryota; Metazoa; Chordata; Mammalia; Rodentia; Bathyergidae
Rfam family: tRNA
About the family: Transfer RNA (tRNA) molecules are approximately 80 nucleotides in length.
Source: Rfam by way of RNAcentral